UAUCAAGCAUCCUCUUGAGCUGAAUCUCUAUCCUGCUGGCUCCGAAUUGAGUUCAUUCAAAACUCUGGGCUUUAACCAACUAACCCUUAAAACUUUUACUUUGCAUCCAGGUUAUCCACACGAAAUGCUCGCACACUCUUCAUGCUUUUGCUGAGUGAGUAACACAGAGUAUGACAGACUGUGUGUGAAGUGCUAAGUGAGCAGAAGACUCUACAACAGCCUCUCACAGCUUUUGCCAGCAGCAUGUUGCCUUGGCAAAAGAACUGUCCUUUUUGCACAGCUAGUGGUACCACUGAUCAAAUGUGUUCAUGUAUCUGCCUGCGUGUGUAUGUGCGUGUGAGCGAGUGAGACCACUGCAACUCCUACUGUGUAUUUCUCGGUUUGUUCUGAACAUCAAGUUGAGUCUGAGGAUGCGAGUGGCUGCCUGCUCUGAUAAUGACAGAGUAAGCGUUGUAUUCUCGUGUGCUGUCAUCACCACUGUAUCUGUGUGUGUCAUUCAUCUUAGCAUGAGUGUGUUGCGUGUCCACACUAGAAAGGUUCUAGAGAGAGUUUUUUAUUGAGAUUUGAUAUCAGUGUGCCAUUUUAACUCAUCUGUCAGGUACAGAUGUAUGCAGACGCACACAAAUUCAUACACAGCAUAACACUUAGCCCCAUUAUUCAAACAGCGCGAGGAGGUGAGCACUAUCUUCUGACAGACCGGUGAACUCUAAAGUGUGUUUAUCAACAAAGCGCCUUGCAGCAGUGAGGAGGAGGAGGAGAUGGAGGAGAGCAGGGAGAUGAAGAGUUGAAAGUAGCAAUAGGGGUCUUUUCUAGUUGAAAGUUUACCGGAGUGUGAGCUUAGGAUCAAGGCCCAGCCGGCUGACUCUCAGCUGACCCAAGUCAAGGGAAAAAAAAGAUAGAAAACACAUCAAUUUCAAACUUGGGGGAGUUAUAAUCAGAGACUUCAGAGAAAGCGAGUGGGAGGAUUGAGUGAAAAAGAAGGGGGUUGGAAAGGAGAGUCAGUGAGGUGAUGAGUCAUAGUGACUUGUGUGCAUCCAUCCCUUGUCUUGUGUUUCUUUCCUGUCACUCUUUGUCAUACCGUAAACUUUCCAGAGAAAUGACAGUCAGAAAUGACAAAAUGAUAGCCACAAAUGAAACAUGUUUGUUGCUGUUCGUGCAAAAAUCUUUCAGUAAUUACACUAUGUUUUGUCACUGUCAGGUACCAAGAUGGCUGCCUUUAACAGAAUAUGCAGUGAGUUAUGUUCAGUUCUCACUGUGACUUUAAUUAACCACCUUUCAGUCUCAUCACAAUUUUGUAAUAGUAUCCCAAGCUAUUUUGAUAUGACCCGACAUGCCUGACUGUUCAAUUAAUUAAGCCCCAAAGUUGCCAUCGCAGCCAAAUUUUCAAGAUUGGGGAUGUCCCAAGGCUGCUUAUAUCAUGGAAAUUUUUUCACCACAGCCUUCUAAAUUUGGGAUGAGCAGGCCUAAUUAGAGGUUGAUUUUGGUUGCAUGGCUUUGGCUGCACUGCUGAGUUUUUAUCCAACCUUAAAGCACACCAGAGGGCUGUUUUGGUGUCUCAGCAGAAUUAAGUGCAUACCAUCACAAGUGUUGAUGUCGCUCACAGCCCAGAAUGUUUUUUUCCUGUCACUCUUCAUUUCAUGCUGUUAGAAUUUGAUAAUCCAUCUGAGGAAAGCAACCUUCCUCCAACGAUUUUGAUACGAAAAUAAAAUGAAAACAGAAGUGACAGAGAAACAAUCUCCAUUUUCAGGAAGAGCUUCUGUUCAACAUUUUUUUCUUUUCUGUUAUCAUAUAUAUAUCACUGUUAAUUACAUGAGGCUGAUAGUAUUUAGAGUUUUUUUGAUGUGUGCAGUAUGUGCUUCAAAAAGGACAUCCAUAAAAUAACAUACAGUAAGAAUAAUGUUUGUAUGCCUUCAUUAUGCUUCAUUAUGUGACAGGAUGUUACUUUCCACUUACAAUAUAUCUGCAUUGCCAAAAGCAAAGAGCCUGAAGUUCAGCCCAUUACUUGAAUCUAAGUUAUCCUCAGGCCUCUUUUCCAUCCAGCAGGGUUUUAUGAGGGUAUAUUUCACUGACUCACUGGCACAGCUGAGCAGGGAAAUCCUUCUCUUCACGGUCUAGUUGGGAUGACUGAUGUAAAUAUGCUGCUGCUGAGUCCAGACACUGACACCAUCAUCACACUGACCCAGUUAGAGAGAGAAGGAGAGAGAGAGGGAGAGAGAGAGCGAGACGGAGAGAGAGAGAGAGAGAGAAAGAGAGAGAGAGGUUCCAAGUCAUUUGUGACACGCAUUUAUUCUUGUGACUCCACACGUUUUUAAGUAGUUUCCAAGACUUUAAGAGCUUUGAGCCAUGUGUGGUAGUUCAUUGAUGUGGGAAGAAGGAUUAAGACAUGUAUUUCAGGUCAUCUGGGAUGCAUGCACUGAAUGACUGGACAUUUUUUCUGGACAUGCUACAAAGAAAGAGAGCAGCUUUAGACCAUUUGUGUUUUAUAUUAUAUGUUUUCUGUGCAACUAAACAUGGUUUUCCUCUGUGCUGUACUUUCCUAGAUGACACAUACCAUACUGUCGCUGUUAUCUAUGCAUGCAACCUCUGACCCAGUCAUUUUUUUGAGAUGAAGUUAAGAAACAAAGUUGACUGGUGGUAGGAAGAGAAUAUGAGCCACAGUCAGACUUGCCAAGUCAUCUACCCCAGUCAAUAAAGGCACACUACUUCUGCCUUUGCUUCUGAGAGAGGACAGUCCUAAGCCAAAGACCAGCAGAGACAGGGUUUAUGAUCUCCUACCCAUAUACAACCACUUGUUAUUACUUGGACAAGAUUUUACUCUUGGGUCACUUGUUAACACCUGAGCCAGCUCUAUUUGCUUAAUGAAGACCAUGACAUGUGGUUGACAACUCUGAAAGCCAGGAUGUGGACCUCUGAGCUUAGAUUAUUUUUUUAGAUGUAAAAAAAGGUUGUUUUAGGUGUUUGAACAAACUAUACAUGCAAUUGUUUUUGGUGAGGUCUUCUUAAAACCAUCCUGCUUCUGCUGUGACUUAUUAAUGCCAUCAUAGUCAUUCUUCUCACUGUGUGUACUGUGUAGUGAUUGUAAUUACAUGAAUAAAAAUAUCUUUCAAACGUACUAAAAGUCACGUGACCCACUCAUUCACCUGUGUAGGGUUAGGCUUCUACUGUUCUUGUUUGUAUUCCAUGUGAGCGUUGGUGGCCUUACUGCUCGUUAACCUUUCCUAAUACGACCUGCAUGUAUUAAUAACACUCGGCGGGAAAGGUCAAUCGAUGGAUGCGUGCAUGUGUGUGUGUGUUUUUUUCACUGGGAAUGCUUAUGCAGACUAUAAGUGGCUUGGUAUAGGAGGUAUAUGGGCUUGUCAGUGAACUGGUGAGGGUAAAUUGGAUUUGCUUUUAAUAAUUAACCAGGACUGAUGGUUUAAUGUUGUGUUGUGCUUCAGGGGGAAAAUCUAGCUAAUGAUGACAUGUAAUCAAAUCUAUUGUGUAUCAUGAUGUGUGUUCUUUCUAUGUUCUGUACCAUCACUUCCAGAUUAAAAUACCCUUGUUCUACUA
Molecule: long non-coding RNA, 3549 nt
Organism: Thunnus maccoyii (southern bluefin tuna)
Lineage: Eukaryota; Metazoa; Chordata; Actinopteri; Scombriformes; Scombridae
Exons: 2
Source: RefSeq, a predicted model, not a curated record